CCGGGACGACCGACGAUCACGUGAGUGCCGGGGGCGUUCACUACGACUUCUUUUCCUUCUGCGCCCACUUCGGUUGCCUGCUUCUCCACCAAAUCUGCAAAGUUUGACAUCAGUUUCGCGCUAUCUCCCAAUUCAGUUACCGGAGUGCGGAUGAAAAUGGAAAAUGGGUGGAGGGAGAAAAUAAAUGCUGGUUGAUCGGAAGGUGCUGCAGUUGGCUCUAGAAUCGCACCAUUGAAUGAUGAAAUAAAUUUUAAGCACACGACUUCAGCAUGGUGUAAUUUAAUUUACAUUCAAUGUAAGUGAGCAAAGUGUUCGUCCCACUUUUUGGGUUCAUACUGUUCUCACCAACCAACUUGUUUUCCUUUCAUUUGAAAGGUUUUUCUAUAUCUGCUA
Nymphaea colorata (pocket water lily) is the source of this 393-nucleotide long non-coding RNA. RefSeq lists it as uncharacterized. The transcript is spliced from 2 exons. The record is from RefSeq and is a predicted model, not a curated record. NCBI's taxonomy places the organism in Eukaryota, Viridiplantae, Streptophyta, Magnoliopsida, Nymphaeales, Nymphaeaceae.